AUUGAACGCUGGCGGUAGGCUUAACACAUGCAAGUCGUGCGAGAAAGUAUCUUCGGAUAUGAGUAGAGCGGCGGACGGGUGAGUAACGCGUAGGAAUCUACCUAGUAGAAGGGGAUAGCCCGGGGAAACCCGGAUUAAUACCGUAUACCUCCUUCGGGAGAAAGAAGGCCUCUCUUUGAAGCUUUCGCUAUUAGAUGAGCCUGCGUAAGAUUAGCUUGUUGGUGAGGUAAAGGCUCACCAAGGCGACGAUCUUUAGCUGGUCUGAGAGGACGAUCAGCCACAUUGGGACUGAGACACGGCCCAGACUCCUACGGGAGGCAGCAGUGGGGAAUAUUGGACAAUGGGCGCAAGCCUGAUCCAGCCAUACCGCGUGUGUGAAGAAGGCCUUCGGGUUGUAAAGCACUUUAAGCAGGGAGAAAAAGUUAUAAGUUAAUACCUUAUAACCCUGAUGUUACCUGCAGAAUAAGCACCGGCUAAUUCCGUGCCAGCAGCCGCGGUAAUACGGAAGGUGCAAGCGUUAAUCGGAAUUACUGGGCGUAAAGCGCGCGUAGGUGGUUUGUUAAGUUGGAUGUGAAAGCCCUGGGCUCAACCUAGAAACUGCAUCCAAAACUAACUCACUAGAGUACGAUAGAGGGAGGUAGAAUUCAUAGUGUAGCGGUGGAAUGCGUAGAUAUUAUGAAGAAUACCAGUGGCGAAGGCGGCCUCCUGGAUCUGUACUGACACUGAGGUGCGAAAGCGUGGGUAGCGAACAGGAUUAGAUACCCUGGUAGUCCACGCCGUAAACGAUGACAACUAGCUGUUGGGAGACUAUGUCUUUCAGUGGCGCAGCUAACGCUUUAAGUUGUCCGCCUGGGGAGUACGGCCGCAAGGCUAAAACUCAAAUGAAUUGACGGGGACCCGCACAAGCGGUGGAGCAUGUGGUUUAAUUCGAUGCAACGCGAAAAACCUUACCUACUCUUGACAUACUUGGAGGCUCUUGUAAUGAGAGUGUGCCUUUUGGAACCAAGAUACAGGUGCUGCAUGGCUGUCGUCAGCUCGUGUCGUGAGAUGUUCCGUUAAGUCGGAUAACGAGCGCAACCCUUACCCUUAUUUGCCAGCGAUUCGGUCGGGAACUAUAAGGGGACUGCCGGUGAUAAACCGGAGGAAGGUGAGGACGACGUCAAGUCAUCAUGGCCCUUACGAGUAGGGCUACACACGUGCUACAAUGGGAGAUACAGACGGACGCUAAGCCGCGAGGUGGUGCUAAUCCUAAAAAGUCUUUCGUAGUCCGGAUUGGAGUCUGCAACUCGACUCCAUGAAGUCGGAAUCGCUAGUAAUCGCGGAUCAGCAUGCCGCGGUGAAUACGUUCUCGGGUCU
This 1356-nucleotide ribosomal RNA is filed under the name uncultured bacterium. RNAcentral describes it as "bacterial SSU rRNA". It matches the Rfam family "Bacterial small subunit ribosomal RNA", at positions 28 to 1381 of the family's 1533-position model. The record is from RNAcentral.